UUUUAACCAACUGAGCCGCCCAAGCACCCCUACCUAUUUUUUAAUUGGGUUAUUUAUUUGUUGUUCAGUUGUAGAAGUUCUUUAUAUGUACUGGAUAUCAACUCCAUCAGAUCUAUGAUUUGCAAAUAUUUUCUCCCAUUCCGUAAGUUGCUUUUUCAUUACAUGGAUUGCUUAUUUUGUUGUUGUUUGAUGUGCAGAAGUUUUUAACUUUGAUGUUGUCUUGUUUGUCUAUUUUUGCUUUUGUUGCCUGUGCUUUUGGCGUCAUAUAUAAGAAAUCAUUGCUAAUUACAAUAUCAUGAAGUUUUCCCCUGUGUUUUCUUCUCAGAGUCUUAUAAUUGUAGGUCUUCAAUUUAUGUCUUUGAUCCAUUGGAGUUGAUUUUUGUAUAUGGCUUAAGUGGCAGGAAGAAAGUUGCCAGAAGGUUGAGUGAGUCACCCACAGUCAUAAAGCCAGGAGGGCCUGUCCAAAGAAUGGAAGCCUAACCCCCUUCUGACAUGGUUAUCCAUGGUUCAGAACAUGAAGUCUCAUACAAAGCGAAUCCUGAUUUGAAUAAUAGCUUCAUGACACUCUGGUUAUAUUACCUCCUUUUCAACGUUUCACCUACCCUUCCUCAAAUCUUGCCUGAAGAUCUUUGCAAAGGCUGUUCCCUCUGCCUGGGAAAUGUCCUUCCUCCUUUUCUGGGUUACAUAAGACUGCAACUUACAUCUUGCUGAUCACCUUCUCACCUUAUAUGCUUUGAUGAAGCAAGCUCACAUGUUGGAAAAGCUCAAGGAAUUGAAUCCUGGCAACAACCACAUGAGUCUGGGAGUGGAUGCUUCACCCAGUCAACCUUCAGAUGAGAUCCCUGCCCUGGCCAACACCUUGAUUACAGCCUUGUGAGAGACCCUGAAGCUGAGUACUUAGCUAAGCAUGCCUCAGCUCCUAACCCUCAGAAACUAAGAGAUAAUAAAUGUGUGUAGUGUUAAGCCACUAAAUCUUGGGGAUAAUUUCUUACACAGCAAUAGGUAGCUAAUACAAAUAAGUGAAUAAGUCAGUAAGUGAAUGGAUUUGAAGUGAAGUGAAGUGAAGUGAAUGAAACUGAAGACCUCACUAAAGGAAGGGGAAACUAAGACCUGGUGGAGGUGAGGGGGUAGUGUAGAGAGAGUGGACUGAUACGCUCAAAGACAAUUGUCCAUGCUUCCUGUUUGAUUUUGUUUCUCUCAACCAUAGUAUCUAAAGGAGGCGUUUUGGGGGAAACUCUUCCAAAGUUUUUAGAAUCAGAAAUUCAACAGAGAACCUGAUGGAAAGGGUCGUGGUCAAGGGAAUAAAGGACCUAGAGGAAUAAGGACUGGAGACAAAAGAGCAAAAUGUUGCAUAUGAUUACCUUUGCAGCCCAAACAUGAAGGGUAAAGAAUAUUCAAAACUGAAUGAGACUGGCAAAAAGCACCCAAGAGAUCAGCUGAGAUGCUAACAGAAGGUCAGUCUUCGUUCCCAAACAGUGGGUGGAGAGACGGAGGCAUGGGCCCUCCUGGAAUUUUAUUUCCUCAAACAUUAGAAAUCACAUACUUGAAACCUAUAAAGCCAUCCUAUAUGUUUAAAUACAAAAGAAGAGGCGCCUGGGAGGCUCAGUCAGUUAAGCGUCUGACUUCGGCUCAGAUCAUGAUCUCACAGUUUGUGGGUGCAAGUCCCGUGUUGGGCUCUGUGC
This is a long non-coding RNA of Felis catus (domestic cat), 1682 nucleotides long. RefSeq lists it as uncharacterized. Lineage: Eukaryota; Metazoa; Chordata; Mammalia; Carnivora; Felidae. The transcript has 5 exons. The record is from RefSeq and is a predicted model, not a curated record.